CCCGCCGUAGCUCAGUAGUAGAGCGCCCGGCUGUAGAUAGGGGCGCGGGGACCGGGUGGUCCGGGGUUCAAGUCCCCGCGGCGGGA
RNAcentral lists this transfer RNA (86 nucleotides) under Sulfodiicoccus acidiphilus. It matches the Rfam family "tRNA". From Rfam's summary of the family: Transfer RNA (tRNA) molecules are approximately 80 nucleotides in length. Their secondary structure includes four short double-helical elements and three loops (D, anti-codon, and T loops). Further hydrogen bonds mediate the characteristic L-shaped molecular structure. tRNAs have two regions of fundamental functional importance: the anti-codon, which is responsible for specific mRNA codon recognition, and the 3' end, to which the tRNAs corresponding amino acid is attached (by aminoacyl-tRNA synthetases). tRNAs cope with the degeneracy of the genetic code in two manners: having more than one tRNA (with a specific anti-codon) for a particular amino acid; and 'wobble' base-pairing, i.e. permitting non-standard base-pairing at the 3rd anti-codon position. The record is from Rfam by way of RNAcentral. Lineage: Archaea; Thermoproteati; Thermoproteota; Thermoprotei; Sulfolobales; Sulfolobaceae.